Molecule: ribosomal RNA, 253 nt
Filed under: uncultured bacterium
Lineage: Bacteria
Description: partial 16S ribosomal RNA
Rfam family: Bacterial small subunit ribosomal RNA
Source: RNAcentral
UACAGAGGUCCCGAGCGUUGUUCGGAUUCAUUGGGCGUAAAGGGUGCGUAGGCGGCUGGGUAAGUUUGAUGUGAAAUCCUGGGGCUCAACCCUGGAACUGCAUUGAAUACUGCUCGGCUAGAGUACUGGAGAGGAAACUGGAAUUUACGGUGUAGCAGUGAAAUGCGUAGAUAUCGUAAGGAAGACCAGUGGCGAAGGCGAGUUUCUGGACAGUUACUGACGCUGAGGCACGAAGGCCAGGGGAGCAAACGGG